This is a non-coding RNA of Nicotiana tabacum (common tobacco), 2065 nucleotides long. NCBI's taxonomy places the organism in Eukaryota, Viridiplantae, Streptophyta, Magnoliopsida, Solanales, Solanaceae. The record is from RefSeq and is a predicted model, not a curated record.
GCCAAACUUACUGCUUCACUCUGCGGCCAUUAUGCGGUCCGCAGAGUGAUUAUGCGGACGCAUAAUGGGCAGCAAAAAUGCGUUCUUCUGCGAAAUAUUUUCCUCUCAGUCCGUAUGGUACUGUUUAAUCCAAAAAAGUCCGAACCACGCAGAAAUCUAACUUGGCACCAUAAAACCCCAAGUUUUUAAUUUAAAUUUUUACGGGUCCUUACAGAAAGAUUACUUAAUCAUCAAUUUUUGUAUAUCAAAUAAGAACCUUCUAUAAUAUUUAACAGAUACAUGGUUACACUGACAACAUAUAGUACUACUCACUAUAAAACUAAAUUUCUACUAAACUUAUGUAUUUCUGUAAACUAAGUUACUAGAAUAACUUUUCUAUUAUAUAAAAAAGAUAAGUUGGUCGACCAAGGGUAGUUUCGAAAUUCCGCAUAUAUUGAGGGAUAAAUUGGUAAUUCUGCCACUUAAGCCAUAGAUACAUCUUUGCAUACCGUAGCUAUCAAUGUCUCUCUCUUUAAGAAGCACUCCCUCAGUUUCUCUCUUCAUAAGCAAACAUACUUCUUCAUCAUAAGGUACUUCUUUUCUUUUUUCAAUGAUUGUUGUGUUUUUGUCUGCUUCGUAUUCUCUAUCUCUGUUUCACAAGCCAUAUAUGUAGGUCAUAGUUUCCCAAGUACUCCCCCUCCCCCCACCAAUUUCGGUUUUUUUUUGAACAACUGAAAAAGGAUCUUUCUGAUGAGGAGUAUAAAACUUCACAAACAAACUUGAAUUACAGAUUCCCUGCUACAACAAUUUGCGGAAUAGCCGCCCCAAUAUUUUUUAAUUAUUUGUAUACCUAUCCCAAUCAGAUAGUAAGAAAGGGCAACAAUGCAGACGAAGAAGAUAAAUUUGUCAGAAAUUGAGUAUACUAAAUGAGCUAAUCUUCCCUAUAUCGUGACAAGGAAACAACAAAUAUUGAAGUAGGCUAUGCACAUAUGGUAUUUGAUGAUAUGCCUUAUCCAUCUAAUGUUGUUGUGCGCUUACUAAUUCCUAAGAGCAUUUGCUUUCACUAUUUUGUUUCUUUUUUGAUGUUGUUAUUUAUUUAUACUUUUUAUACAUCGAAUCUAAAAAAUGUUGCACUUUUUAUCGAAACAGUUUGGUCAUUUGUUCACAUAAACGUAACAAAAUUGAAAAAGAGGAAGUAUAAAAUAGGAGUAUCGGAGAGAGCUCUUGCCUUGGUCGUGAACAGAAGUAUGAACAAUCUGACCAUACUUUUUCUUUUGUUGAGAAAGAUUACUUAAUCAUCAAUUUUUGUAUAUCAAAUAAGAACCUUCUAUAAUAUUUAACAGAUACAUGGUUACACUGACAACAUAUAGUACUACUCACUAUAAAACUAAAUUUCUACUAAACUUAUGUAUUUCUGUAAACUAAGUUACUGGAAUAACUGGUGAAGACAUAUUUCGUGCAUUGCUGAUAAAAUGUUGCAUAUUGUAUGUAAUUCCUCUUCCUACAACAGAACUUUACAGAAUGAUCCGGAAAAAGGAUAAUAAUGGCAACUAUUCUGUCAGCUGUUAACAUUAAGCCUUCCUUUCACACAACUGGCAAUUGAACUUAUAUGAAAAUGUAUAUAGGCUCUGUACCUCUAGCCCUCCUCUCCAUAGUCAUUAGUUUUGUUUGAACAACUUUGCACAAUGGUUAUCUGACAAAAGAGGUUACACCUUAUGUAAUACAUAUUAACUUUGCUCCAGUAACUAAGAAGACAUGAGUUUUUCUUAGCAUUGUCUCAUAGCUACUUAACUAUGUAAGUGUUCUAUCUAUGUUCGAAGUUGAAUUGGAUCAUGCAUGGUGAUCUAAGAGGCGCUAUCAGCAGUUGUUUAAGAAGGAAGAUAGGAACACAAGACCGCUUUUGACACAGUACCUGCUUGUAUACUAUGGACUAGAUGAAACGAAAGUAACUACCAUUGUUUUAAUUUGUGAUAUACACACAAAAAGACAAGUGUAUGCACCUGUUAGCUUUUGGACUAACUUGCAAAAUGUAUAUAAUUUAAUGUAUACUACUUGGUGUUAAUUAAUAAAGUUGAUCACUUAUCUA